This is a long non-coding RNA of Anas platyrhynchos (mallard), 1182 nucleotides long. RefSeq lists it as uncharacterized. NCBI's taxonomy places the organism in Eukaryota, Metazoa, Chordata, Aves, Anseriformes, Anatidae. The record is from RefSeq and is a predicted model, not a curated record.
CCUCAGCAGGGCGGAUGGGCACGUAGAAAAUGAGUCAGCAGCGCGCCCUUGUGGCCACGGCCGCUAACCGCAUGCACCGCUGCCUCGGGAGGGAUACAGCCAGCAGGCCGAGCAAAACCGUGAUUCCUCUUUCCGGUGGCGCACGUGAAACCGUAUUUGGCUCCAUCAGUUUGUUCAGGGGGCUGGAGCACAUGGUGAACUGAGGCUGAAAAGGGUUUGCUUAGCAGAAGGGACAGAUAUUGCUUUGACAAUCUGGAGGCUGAAUUACUAGAAAUGAAAACUACACCAACAAGCUAUGACAGAAGAUUAUAGGAAAAGUUGCAAACUGCUAAUGAGAAAAAAAAGUCAAUUAUACCAUAUAGGUGAUUGCAGUUGCUCAUCUUUAAGAAGUCUUCAAGAAUUUGUCACAAGUGACCAAAUAAGAGGUUUUUAACGGACUGGAUAUAUGUUCUUUAGCGUGUUUUUUAAAAGCAAGCCAGCAACUUUACCAACUUGAAAGACUUUCAAUGGACAUGAAUCCAGCCCGUUGGAGGUGAUUCAACUGAUGUCCUGAAACCAAAACAACCGCAGUCAGCCUCAAAUCCUGGAAAAAUCCUGAAUUAUUUAGUAAUCUUCAGCAUCUAUUACAAGCAUAUUGGAGCUGUAGUAGGCAUGAACAUCUGAUCAGAAACCAUGAGACUGAAAGGUGAAUAAGCAAAUACCACCAAAAUGAAACUGACUAGAAAGUUUUUACCUUUUAUCCCUCUCUCUGUGGUCACUGGAGUUUAGAAAGGAUAUUUAAUAAGACACAUGUUCUUGAUAUAUUUUGCAAAUUACAUUCAGGUUUCCCAUCUGUGAUUUUCUAUGUGAUUAGUAUAUACCAAUGUGGGAAAUAACACUUUAAUGAUAAUAAUUUUAAAGGGUGAAAUAGUAAUGAUUUUUGGAUGCCCAGCUAUAGUACAGCUGGUUAAGAGAAAAGCAAUAGCAGCAGUGGUAUUCUAAAAGAAUAAACAUAUCUAAUGGUACAGGAGUGUCUGCUUAGGCUCUUGGAAGCUGUAGCUAGCAAGGACAGGAGUUUUGUUUCUUUUUCUUUUUUUUUUUUUUUCAAUUUCAAAAUGUACAAUCACAGUUAUAAUCCAUUCUAUGUAUAACAUCCUGAAAAUGAAAAUAAAUGAAGCUUUACUCCUAAACUACAUGUUCACA